AAAUAAUAAGCAGCCGUUGUAUAAAGCAUACUUAAUGGGACUCCCCCAGUAACCAUUUCGCGAGUAUAAAAAGACCCUGUUUUCACCGAUCGGUACCCAGCAACUUCUUCAAGUUCAACGGAACACUAUUGAAAAAAAGAAAAAAUAACCAAAAUGUCACGAGUUAUUUUACUGUUAUCAAUAAUUUUAUUCAUUGGCUGCUUCUAUGCUGUUGCAGAAAACUGUGACGGCCAUUGGUGUUCUGCGCAAUCUCCUUGUGGCUGUGAGGGUUACACUUGUAGGAGGGGCAAUUGCGCAGUGACUACUAUUGAGGAUUUUCCCAGUUCUGUCUAUAGUGCUGGGUGAAGUUUUACAAAUUUCCUGUCAGGAGUAUACUACAAUUUCAAAAUUGUAGAUUUUUGUUACAAAAAAUGGCACCUUAUGAAUAUUGUAAUAUUGGUCUUAUUCAAUACUAAUAAAU
Molecule: long non-coding RNA, 460 nt
Organism: Microplitis mediator
Lineage: Eukaryota; Metazoa; Arthropoda; Insecta; Hymenoptera; Braconidae
Exons: 3
Source: RefSeq, a predicted model, not a curated record